AACGAACGUUAGCGGCGCGCCUAAUACAUGCAAGUCGAGCGAGAAAGGGAUUCGUCCCCAGUAAAGCGGCGCACGGGUGAGUAACACGUAGGUCAUCUACCCUCGGGUGGUGGAUAACAUUCCGAAAGGAGUGCUAAUACAGCAUAACACCGCAAGGACAAAGCGGGCCUCUCUAUAGAAGCUCGCGCCUGAGGAUGAGCCUGCGGCCCAUCAGCUAGUUGGCAGUGUAAAAGACUAACAAGGCUAAGACGGGUAGCUGGUCUGAGAAGAUGAACAGCCACACUGGAACUGAGACACGGUCCAGACGCCUACGGGAGGCAGCAGUAGGGAAUCUUGCGCAAUGGGCGAAAGCCUGACGCAGCGACGCCGCGUGAGUGAUGAAGGCCUUCGGGUUGUAAAGCUCUGUGGGGAGAGAAGAAUAAGUGCAAGCUAAUACUUUGCAUGAUGACGGUAUCUCCUUAGCAAGCACCGGCUAACUCUGUGCCAGCAGCCGCGGUAA
Molecule: ribosomal RNA, 499 nt
Filed under: uncultured bacterium
Lineage: Bacteria
Description: partial 16S ribosomal RNA
Rfam family: Bacterial small subunit ribosomal RNA
Source: RNAcentral